GCUUGUCUCAAAGAUUAAGCCAUGCAUGUCUAAGUAUAACUCUUUUACUUUGAAAACUGCGAACGGCUCAUUAUAUCAGUUAUAGUUUCUUUGAUAGUCCCUUACUACUUGGAUACCCGUAGUAAUUCUAGAGCUAAUACAUGCAUCAAUACCCAACUGUUCGCGGAAGGGUAGUAUUUAUUAGGUAUAGACCAACCCUCUUCGGAGGUGCUUUGGUGAUUCAUAAUAACUUUUCGAAUCGCAUGGCUCCAUGCCGGCGAUGGAUCAUUCAAGUUUCUGCCCUAUCAGCUUUCGAUGGUAGGAUCGAGGCCUACCAUGGCGUUUACGGGUAACGGAGAAUUAGGGUUCGAUUCCGGAGAGGGAGCCUGAGAAAUGGCUACCACAUCCAAGGAAGGCAGCA
This 400-nucleotide ribosomal RNA is filed under the name uncultured Mediophyceae. RNAcentral describes it as "partial small subunit ribosomal RNA". It matches the Rfam family "Eukaryotic small subunit ribosomal RNA", at positions 30 to 430 of the family's 1831-position model. Lineage: Eukaryota; Bacillariophyta; Thalassiosirophyceae. The record is from RNAcentral.